GUAUCCGGCCUGAGAGGGUGAUCGGACACACUGGAACUGAGACACGGUCCAGACUCCUACGGGAGGCAGCAGUAGGGAAUAUUGCUCAAUGGGGGAAACCCUGAAGCAGCAACGCCGCGUGGAGGAUGAAGGUUUUAGGAUUGUAAACUCCUUUUGUUAGAGAAGAUAAUGACGGUAUCUAACGAAUAAGCACCGGCUAACUCCGUGCCAGCAGCCGCGGUAAUACGGAGGGUGCAAGCGUUACUCGGAAUCACUGGGCGUAAAGAGCGCGUAGGCGGGAUAGUCAGUCAGGUGUGAAAUCCUAUGGCUUAACCAUAGAACUGCAUUUGAAACUGCUAUUCUAGAGUGUG
This 350-nucleotide ribosomal RNA is filed under the name Helicobacter pylori. Its description in RNAcentral is "bacterial SSU rRNA". It matches the Rfam family "Bacterial small subunit ribosomal RNA", at positions 283 to 650 of the family's 1533-position model. The record is from RNAcentral. Lineage: Bacteria; Pseudomonadati; Campylobacterota; Epsilonproteobacteria; Campylobacterales; Helicobacteraceae.